RNAcentral lists this ribosomal RNA (253 nucleotides) under uncultured bacterium. RNAcentral describes it as "partial 16S ribosomal RNA". It matches the Rfam family "Bacterial small subunit ribosomal RNA", at positions 524 to 776 of the family's 1533-position model. The record is from RNAcentral.
UACGUAGGGUGCAAGCGUUGUCCGGAAUUAUUGGGCGUAAAGAGCUCGUAGGCGGUCUGUCACGUCGGCUGUGAAAACCCGAGGCUCAACCUCGGGCCUGCAGUCGAUACGGGCAGACUAGAGUUCGGUAGGGGAGACUGGAAUUCCUGGUGUAGCGGUGAAAUGCGCAGAUAUCAGGAGGAACACCCGUGGCGAAAGCGGCUCUCUGGGACGGUACUGACGCUGAGACGCGAAAGCGUGGGGAGCAAACAGG